AGAAUCAACGCUGGCGGCGUGCCUAACACAUGCAAGUCGUACGCGAAAGGGGCUUCGGCCCUGAGUAGAGUGGCAAACGGGUGAGUAACGCGUGGGUGACCUGCCUUCGAGCGGGGGAUAACGUUCCGAAAGGGACGCUAAUACCGCAUGACAUCCUGUCUUUAGACAGACGGAGAUCAAAGCCGGGGAUCGUAAGACCUGGCACUCGAAGAGGGGCCCGCGUCCGAUUAGCUAGUUGGUGGGGUAACGGCUCACCAAGGCUCCGAUCGGUA
Molecule: ribosomal RNA, 272 nt
Filed under: uncultured bacterium
Lineage: Bacteria
Description: partial small subunit ribosomal RNA
Rfam family: Bacterial small subunit ribosomal RNA
Source: RNAcentral